AACAGAAUAACUGAUGACAUCAGAGCUACAAUAGUGGACCAUGUCAUCAACCAUGGGAUGACCCUGAGGGAAGCUGGCCAACGGGUUCAGCCUAAACUGAGCCGCUACACUGUGGCAGGCAUCAUUAGGACAUUUCGAAAUGAGAAUCGAAUUGCUAGACGUCCAGAUGUUGGGGGCAGAGGCAGAAUGUUCACUGCAGAGCAAGAGACCCAUAUAGUGAACAUGAACAAGAAUGAAGCAAAUUUACAGAGUUCCUUUCGAGAGAAACACAGAACGUGUAAAGCAACUGCGAUAUGACUAUGUGCAGAGAGUGAUGGAACUAGAAGCAGAUGCAAUGGGACAUGAGCU
Molecule: long non-coding RNA, 348 nt
Organism: Oreochromis aureus
Lineage: Eukaryota; Metazoa; Chordata; Actinopteri; Cichliformes; Cichlidae
Exons: 4
Source: RefSeq, a predicted model, not a curated record